CCGGAACUCGUCUGUACAUCUGGCUGCACUUCGUAACGUUAUGAAAGGACAAGCAUGCAGACUCAAACACAACAAACGUGACGUCUCAUUGACCAUAGGGUUAGAUCGAGUAGCUUCCCUUGGAUAAAGGACGUACAGUUACUCAAGCGGACAGACCGAUGGAUUGGUUCGGACCUUUUGUACUGACUGCAGAUGUCACAACAACAUCAGUAGUCAAGUAUGAAGCUGACAGCAAGAGGACCAGCAUCACUGACAACAAGGAACAGCCAAAUUCACUCUGUAGGUCACCUGAGAAUGUCUAGAAUAUUUCCAACAUUACGAAUAAAGAUAUUUGCUGGUA
Molecule: long non-coding RNA, 340 nt
Organism: Haliotis rufescens (red abalone)
Lineage: Eukaryota; Metazoa; Mollusca; Gastropoda; Lepetellida; Haliotidae
Exons: 2
Source: RefSeq, a predicted model, not a curated record